CCUACGGGGUGCAGCAGUGGGGGAUAUUGCACAAUGGGGGAAACCCUGAUGCAGCGACGCCGCGUGUGGGAAGACGGUCUUCUGGAUUGUAAACCACUGUCCCCAGGGACGAAAAUGACGGUACCUGGGGAGGAAGCUCCGGCUAACUACGUGCCAGCAGCCGCGGUAAUACGUAGGGAGCAAGCGUUGUCCGGAAUUACUGGGUGUAAAGGGAGCGUAGGCGGGGAUGCAAGUUGGGUGUCAAAACUACCGGCUCAACCGAUAGUCGCACUCAAAACUGCAACUCUUGAGUGAAGUAGAGGCAGGCGGAAUUCCUAGUGUAGCGGUGAAAUGCGUAGAUAUUAGGAGGAACACCAGUGGCGAAGGCGGCCUGCUGGGCUUUUACUGACGCUGAGGCUCGAAAGUGUGGGGAGCAAACAGGAUUAGAUACCCGGGUAGUC
This 440-nucleotide ribosomal RNA is filed under the name uncultured bacterium. RNAcentral's name for it is "partial 16S ribosomal RNA". It matches the Rfam family "Bacterial small subunit ribosomal RNA", at positions 338 to 795 of the family's 1533-position model. The record is from RNAcentral.